This is a long non-coding RNA of Homo sapiens (human), 14221 nucleotides long. RefSeq lists it as uncharacterized. NCBI's taxonomy places the organism in Eukaryota, Metazoa, Chordata, Mammalia, Primates, Hominidae. The transcript is spliced from 6 exons. The record is from RefSeq and is a predicted model, not a curated record.
UUGGCCUCCCAAAUUUCUGGGAUUACAGAUGUUUGCCACUGUGCCAGUGGAAUCUUUUGAAAGGGUUGGCUUCUGUUUAGCCCUUAGGGAAGAAAGUAUAAUUCUAGUUGUGAGGGAGGGGGUAUAACAAGAGGCUUGUCUGACCUCCUAUCCUAUCAUGGCUGAGAACUCAGUUUUCAAGGUUACUCUGGGCCAAAAAGAGUUGGUUGGGGAGCUUAGGAUUUUAUUUUUAUUUCUCAGCUUUAUGUUUGGCAUUGAAGGAAACCAGAGAACUUCAUCGCCAAAUAUGCCUCUUUGACAUAAACAUUUUUGAGCUAGAGACAAUUUGGAAGCAGCAAUUAUAAAAAAGGACUCUCUGAACUUUCCUUUCUCACAUGUGUCAGGCCGUAAAAAUUCUUGUGAAAAAUAUGCAGGGGGCGCUUCUUUCACCCCUUUCUGCCUGAUUAGCUCAGAGACUGAUGCCACUCGAGGCAGAAAAAUCUGGGAGCAGACUUUACCACAUUCCCAUUGUUUUCCCACCUUUUGGGAGCCUGAAGCUGUUUAUGCCUUUGUCUUCUCACUUCUAAAUGUAUUGUUGUUUGUUAGAGAUGCUAUAUAAGCUGGGACCUUGACCCAUCAUUUUGUGAGAUACUUUUGAACUGAAGUUUCUCCUGUGUUAUGAGCACAGCACAUGUAGAUAGAAACACUUGUUUUUUUUUUCUUUCUUGUUAUUCUGCUGUUUAUUAACAGGAAACUGUCCCAGUGUAAUUGCCCGAUGGGUUCUUCUUGCCUGCUGCACAGACAAAGCCAAUGUACCAAGAAAACAGUGUUGCAGUAGAGAAAGAGUUUAAUUAUCACAGGGCCUGCCAAACAGGAGGACGAGAGUUUAUUACUCAAAUCAGCCACCCUGAAAGCUCAAAAGCUUGGAGGCUAGGAUUUUUAAGGAUACUCUGGUGGGCAGGGUCUAGGAAAUGGGCACUGCUGAUGGGUUGGGGAUAAAAUCAUAGGAGUGUUGGAACUAUAUUCAUGCUGUGAGUCGGUUUCUAGAGGGAGAUUAUGGGACUGAUUGAGUCACAGGUCUUGGAGGGUUUGGGUGGCAUCAGUUGGUCUGUCUAAAUGCAAAAGUCUGAAAAAUAUCUCAAAUGCUAGUCUUAAGUUUUACAAUGACAAUGUUUUCUAUUGGGGCGAUUAGGAAACUUACAGCAGCAAGCAAUGACUAGUUAUCAUUUAACCAUGCAUAGAUUUUAGCAGAAUUCAGGUCCCUCCCAUAAUCCUAAUCUUGUGGCCUUUCAUUAGUUUUACAAAGGAGGUUUCAGUCCCUGAGCAAGGAAGGGGUUAGUUUUGGGGAGGGACUAUUGUUAUCCUUGAUUGAAAGUUAAACUAUAAACUAAAUUCCUCCCAUGGUUAGCUUGGGUUAUUGGAAUGAGUAAGGACAGCCAGCUUGUGAGGCUAGAAGCAGGACGGGGUCAGCCAUGCUAAACUCUCUCACUGUCAUAAUCUUUGCAAAGGCAGUUUCGCCCACUACAGACUUAAAAGUUUUGUGAAAAUUAUUGCUUUCUCCCCUUCAGCUUAAUAGAAGACAGUUGGGUUUUUCAUAUUUACUUCUGUCUUCAAUCUUUAGUGCUAUCACACUUUGGAACAGAUACCCUGGGGUAACUUCAAAUCGUGGGCGCGAAAGUACUUUGGACAAAAUAAAGCACCAUCAAAAUGCUAGGUGUUUGCUAUUUCUAUAAGGGUUGCUAAAACAUGAAGUAACAGGAAAUUCCUCCUGAGGCUCAUAACCUCUCAGAAUCAAACAGACCCAGAAAUGAGAUGUUUCUUUCCUGCAAGAAUUUCAGACAGAAAUCACAUUUUCACAGAUACUUGCAUGAAAAGGGUCCAUAAUUUCACCAAACACCAAACAAAUCUGACUCCAUGCAAGACAAACUUCUGUUGUUCUACACAGAAUUCUAUGAGAUACAGUUUGGAAAAUUGCAUAUAAUCUAUACUGCAUUAAAAAAAGCUUUUACACACAUUCUUUCAACUAAUCUGUAUACCUUUGAGAGGUAGGUAGUCUGAAGCUCAGAGAGAUUAAUGGACAAAUGACUUGCCAAAUGUUGCAUAGUUUUGAUAAGCGGUGAAAUGCAGGUUUUUCUGAUUCUAAUGCAAUCACUUUGUUUAUUACAUUACUAUGCCUCUGGGUAGUUUACCUCAUGCUCAUGGGGCUCUAAAGAAGACAGUCAGAGGAAAGAUGUGUCUGAUAUGCUGCAGAGGGAGGAAGGUAUAUUGGGAAAAGUUUUAAUGUGGCUGCCAGCCCACACAGCUGUGGGAACUAUUGCCUUUAGGGAUUGUGGUGACUCGGGAGAUGAAAUGUAGGACACUAGAGCAUUAGCAGGAGGUGGAAGUUAAGGAUCUAGACAGAAACUGAAAACCAUGGUUUCAGGCUGCUAAAAACCUAACAUGAAACAAAACAGAAGAACAACAACAACAAAAUAAGGUUGCUGACCAGAACUCAACAGUGAGGGAAUUUACCUCCUGCUUCAUGCAUGCAACAUCAAAAUAGAAGAGUGACCUAUGGGAUCCAUGGAGGAGCUGCUUCCUGAAUCUGUGUAAAGUAGAUCUUGCCGUGUGGGUAACUGUGACUGCGGUGGCCAUGAAGAGGCACAACUCAGACCUCGGAUCUCCUGCUGCAGAGAACAUUGACUGACAGCCCAGCAGCUCCUGUCUGGAUCUACCACCUGUUCACAAUUCUGAAAUACAUUCAACGCACACUUUCCUACUGAGAUUUCUAAAAUGGGACUUGGAAAACAGAAAAAUACUAAAGUGGGGUACUAUCAUCUAAAUCUCCAAAAAGGUCAUUCAACUCUGAUCCCUGUUUAAAGAGAGAAAAAAGGAAUAAAGGAGCCUUUGAAGGCAGAAUAUUGCUCACUCAUCUCUUUGAAAGGACCUCAGACUGCAGAGCAGAAGAACCACUGGCUACAUCAGCUGGGGCAGAGGGGGAUGAAGAGAACAUCAUGAUGCCUGCAAAAAAGUGGGCUCUGCAGGAUCUCCAGUCACCUCCCUUCCCUUCAGAUCCAGAGCUCUCUCUGGCUAGGACCUUCCAGAGUUCCAGAAUUUUUGUUCCACCUUCCAUUGCUCACUUCUAUUACUAUUACUAAGAUAUUCACAUGGAAUUCUGUGCAAACCAUUUUUUUUUUCUUUUGGUGCCCUCUUUGUUUUACUUCCUCUAUUGGGACUAAUGGCCAUCUGACUUGGGGGUCCUUUGUUUUUUGUGACAAACCACCCUCAGCAGAUUUCCUUGAGGUCCAUUUGCUCAAGGGCCUUAAAGCUUUUUGGAGUAAUACAGAGUAAGUUUCUAGACAGCCUCUUGUGCUCUGCAGUAAGCUAAAGUGGAAGAUUAAGAUGCCUGGUGUAUACUGUGUGUUUCCCAUGUAAUGGCAGAAAAGGAAUGGGGCUCAUUAGUUACUUUAAGGUGGCAGCAGCUACCUUAGAGAAGACUGCAUUGCUUGUACUGAUUCAAAAGAGCACCUAAUGAAGGGAAAAAGCAGAAAUAAGCCAAGACUUGAGCUGAGUGAUUCGUUGAAUCAGCCAAGGAUAAUGUUCUUCAGGCACUAUGCACAUGUCACUGAUCAGUAGCGCUUCUCUUAAGCUUCAACAGCACUCACUUCCCCUGUCUUGAUGAGGUGAGCAGCACAUUUAAUUUCAGCUCCUGGGGCCAUCUGCAAACCUCUACUCCAUUCCUCAGCUGUGUUUGCUCCUCUGUUCUCAGGGAGCAGCAUUUUCACUGGAUGCAAACUGUGAGGCACUGUCUGGGCAAGCAGAUUGGUUACUAAUGAGGAAACUGGCACUGACAGCCUUUUGGGUUCUGAUUGAAGAAAAGAGAUGUCUUCGCAUCAGAAUGGUUUAACUUUCAAUGUGGCAUAUCAACUGGUUGAAAUUAGGGAGAGAGAGAAAGAGAAAUUUAAUUGUCAGGCUGUGGUGCGUAGUGUCAAAGCUACCUAGAUUAUGAGAAAUACGUCUUUUCAACAGCUUAAAGGCCACAGCUCUCAACAUUUUUUCUGCAUGUACAACACAGACAGGAUCCAGAAAUCCCAGCCUAUAACUCUUGGUUCCGUCAAAUACUCAACAGAGAAAACAGAAGUAUUUGAUUGUGGUAUUAACUAUGAAAUGUUCCCUAUUAGCCAUAUGAUUCUAUUAGCUCAGCUCAUUCCUGUUAGAUUUAUAGAAACAUUAGAGAUAAUUGGAAUUAGAAGGGCCAAGAGAGACGAUCCAAUCCCAUAUAGAGAAAAGCAAGACCCCUGCUCUCACUGAAGAAGUUUUAAAAAUAAUUAAACAACAAACAAACAAAUUGAGGCCCAGAGAGAUGAAGUAAUUUGACUGAUGUAUUCCAUCAGUGACAGACCUGGGACUGGAGCUCCAUCUCAGCUCUCAGCCCACUAAGAACCCUGUUCAUGGUGCCAUACUAGCAACCCCCUUCCUGUAGGAGUCUUUGAGAGUCAGAAUGACUUCUUGACUGAGAGGUACAUGUCUCUAGGAUAAGGACAAUUGAGGGGAUAAUGAGGAAAGAAAUAAUGUAAGUUAACUAUAUUUUGCCACAUGCCCUCCUCUCUCCAUGAAUCCAGGAUGUUGACCCAUAUCCAGCAUCCAUUGUGGGACUAAGUCUCGGACACCAAGGACUUCUAAGGAGCCUGCUCCAAUCUGAAAUGACUGUGGGGGAGCUGGCCAUUCCCCGAGCCAUUCUUGGAAUAUUGGGCCACAGGGGCCACUGGGGAGCAUGUAUAGGUAGGGGCGGCUUUGAUAUAAGCCUAGGUAUUCAAUUCUUCAUGGGACCCCCAAUGCUACCCCAAGUCUGCACCUUGAUUCCCAAAUACCCAAGAGAGACAAAAUGUCCUACUUUCUCUCUGAAGUUCUUCUAAUGUUGGAAGACCUAGGGUGGAGGCAAACCUUUCAGAGAAUUUCUGCUGGGAUUUAAAUGUAUGUCUAGCUGGCUUUAGACAUUAGAAGACUGUAAUAUGUACCUUAAUAAGUUGCCUUUCCCAUGGUGUUUGUUAUCCUCAGAAGACCCCCAUAGUGACUCUAGGAGACAAUUCUCAUAUCUUCUGAACUGUGCAUGUUCAUAGUUUUUCUGAGCAGGGUUUGCAUCUAGCAGCGAUGGAGGUAUAGGAGGUCACAGGCAACACUGCGUGCCUCACACAACAUUGUAGAUCAAGACACAGUUAAAUGGGCUGGCAAUUCUGAGUUUCUGAGUCCAGUCCCAUGACUAGUAUAGCUGUCAGAACUAGAGGGGCCAACCCUGGGAAUCUUGGAGAUGCUUUAUGAAUAUAUGAGAUUUCAGGCAUCCAAGCUCUUCUAUUUGUUUACAUGUAUUCUCAAUGUCUAUCUCCCAUUAUCAAAUCUAUUCCAAAAGUAUUUUUUCAACACUUGCUGGAGACUCUUGGAUAAAGCUAGUAAACGUGCUUUUAUUAAGCUCCAACUCUGUGCUGACCACUUAUACAUAUAUUGUCUCAGUUGCACUCAAAAUGCUAUUGUGUGUUAGGGUUCUUUCUUACAGAUUUUGAAACAGUGUCUUGGAGAGGUUAGGUGAAUUGCUCAAAAGACGCAGCAAGCACAGAGCUGUGACUUGGUCCUGUCUUAUCUGCUUUGGGGUUAUGGGUAGUUUAUCUUUAUAUGCCUAUUUUAACAGUAGACCCUCAACCACUGAAAUUGACAGGAAAAAGUAUGUGGUUGUUUUACCAAACAAACAAACAGACAAAAAACCAAACCCACCAAACCUGAAAUUUUUGGUUUGGUCAACAUUUUAAUUCAACUGUACUCAAUGUAUUAACAAUGGUGAUUUGAUAUGAUGGAUGUAAUUGAUAAUCAAUGCAGUGCCAUUUAUAGACUGCCUAAAAGUGCAUUGUACAUCAUUUUGACAACAUAUUUACCUGCAUUGUUUGGGCAAAAUGAAUUUUAAAAUUAUUUUUUGUUUCCUAAAUUUGUAUCAAUUGAAAAAAAAAAAGUCAUCUGGGUAGCAGACAGAAGUCAGCCUGGGACUACAGUGGGUCAUAACCCUGAGGAUUCAAAUGUGGGCAAUGGCAACAACAUCAGCGACUAAAGCUGUCAGUGGAGAAAAGAAGAAAGCACACGCCAGCCACCCUGCAGAACAAUGCAGUUCUUUCAGAGUCACAUAGUCCUAAAUCUGGAAACCAUCACAGCUGAGAGGAUAAGCUUUGGAACCCGAUAGUGGUCUAAAACUAGGCUCUGCCUGCCAUGGACAAACUACAAGAGACUGGGAAGUGAGUUAAACCUGAGCUAAAUCCCAGUUUCCUUCUCUGCAAAACAGGGAGUGGGGACAGUGGAAUAACACCUCCCUCAUAGAACUGUUGGGAGGCAUAAAUGACCCUCAGCACAGGGUGGUGUGUAUGGAAUGUGCAUCAUAAGUGGCAGCUAUUUUGAUAAUUACUAAACAUGAUGAAUGAUGAUAAGCGAAAUAAUAACACAGCUUUUCAACAUUUUCACUCAAUAAGUUAAAUUUAUAAUAGGCAAGCAAAGGAGUUUCCAGAAUUAAGCAUCUGAUGGGAGCUUAGACAGGUUGACUUUUACAGCUCAUUCUAACCCUGAGUGAGGGUCUGUGAUUUUAUAAGCCCUUUUAGGGUUCGAGUGCUACUUCUAAUCAAGAUCCUGGUAUCAUGUUUUUCUCCAUUACGUGGAACAAUAAUGAAUAGAUAAAUAAAAUAUAACUGGGAAAGGAGAACACAGAUUGAACACAUGCAUUUAUCUCCACUCUUGUCCAAAACCUCACAGUAAAAUAAUUUAAAAUACAUGAACCUAUAAGAACAAGAGAGGGGAGAUAUGAUGAAAGAGAAAACCAAAAUUUUGGAAGUUGGAAAAAAAUGGAAGGCUGGUUAGCCAAUUAGGGACAGUAGAAAGCUGCAUAUCUGUAAGGCACAUGCUGCCAAGAGAGAAAAGCAAGGCAAUUUGGAUGUGGAACCUCAGACAGGCUUAGAAUAGGAAACAGAUCCAUGAGUCAUGACACUGUGGUUGAGAUUUCUGCUUUAGCCAUUCCAGCGUAUGCUUGUUUUUCCCUAAAAGUCUUUACUCAUUUGUUUUCUCUCUUCCGCCCAGUGAACAUCUACUCAUUCUUCAAAACCCAGAACUGUUGUUGUUUCUUGAAAAAUGGAGAUUAUUCCAAAGUUCUUUUAGCCUUUGCAAUGUGAAGGCAUGUGUCAGGGUUGGGAGGAGUUGGGGAACAGCACCUCUUUCUUUUAACGUCCAAUUGAUUGAGGCCAAUGGGUCAUCCUGCCUCCUUCCCUAAAUAUUCCUGAGAAUGCUCAGAGAGGGCCCACAUGUUCCCUAAGUCCAUUCUGGUUACCCUGUGUGCCUUCUUGCUCUGGUCUGCUGCUCCCAGCUUCUUCACGAUCACUUGUGAUCAUUUGCUAGCCUUUUUUUAGUCCAUUUUACUCCAAAGCAAGAAUACAGUACUUGCUCCUUACUCUCCAAUGCUUACCAAUGCAACAACAAGAGGUAAUAGUAUUUAACAAAUUUUGAUACGGAGGAAAGGAAAACCUAAAAUAAGGUACCAUGUAUCACUAUUCCUGAAUUCUGUCAUCAUGUCCCUUUAAAGGCAGUGCUCUAUAGGUUCCGUCUCUCCUGUGGCCCCAGCCUGCUGCCACUGGAACAAGGGUCCAGGGUUCUUAAUGCACGGAAGUCUUCAUCUUAUCCCCCACAAAUCUACAGCCAAAAGAAGGAAAUACCCAUUGAUGACACGAUAGACAAUAUAACAGUUGACAAGAUAAUUGAUACAGCGUGCCCAAUGUGAAGAGAGAAUUUGUCACGGCUAGAGUAGUGAACCUUCUCCAGGUGAACCAUCUGCCGUUGGAAGCUUCCUUUUGUCCAGGGCUCCUGCAAGGCCAGUGAGUAGGUACUUCUAUCUACACAUGACUGAAAAAGACUUACCAAAACCAAUAUAUUCCCAAGGAUACUUUCUAAAUUCUACCCAAGGAGCAGAUGCUGCUCACAAUUCUCUAAAACAAGGUCUUUUUUUUUUCAACCCCAGAUAUAUCAAGAAUGGGACACAAUCUCCGAGGAAGAAAUUGUCAGCAUCUAUCUUGAAAAUAUCUUUGGUUUCCCAUUACAUUUCGGAUUUCUCUAGACCAUAUUUGUAGUUCCCUUUUUGGUGUUCCCAUUCUUGUAAGUUUAUAUAAACAGCAAUAAGACUAUAGCUCUUCUCACAGGAUACUUUGUUAUUUCUUAAUGGGACUGUCUGUCCUGUAGGCUAUGAGCUAUUUGAGGGCAAAGAAUAUUCUAUUCAUCUUUAUAUUCCUGGCACAUGGUAGGCACUCAGUAAUGCUGCUGCUGAAUUGAAUCGGCUGUGGGAAAAAAACAAAUGCUUCUCCUCAGUCAGCAUUUGUUUUCUAGGAUCUAUUCCAAUAUAUUUCCAACAAAAAUAUGAGAUUUAAAAGAUAGGCAGAGAGUGAAUUGAACUGAAUAUUGCACAAAAACUCCUUGUCUUUAAAGGUGGAAACAAAAUCCACCACCUUCCCAAGAUAGCUGUUCUGUCUCACAUCUUCUUGAAGCAAUGAAAUGAUGAGUACUGUGAUCAGAGAGGACCCUCAGAAAAUAAAUAAAAACCCAGCUCUACAAAUGCAGCCGUAAGCCAGGAGGAUAUGACGAAGGAUAUCAUUAUCAUCCUGAUAUUUUUAGAAGUUCUUUGGUGACAGGUCAGAUUUUUGAGAAUCAGAAAAUGAUAAAAAUAAUCUUGUUAUUCCACAAAGGAGGCUCUAUAUAUAUCAGGCCGAUUUUGAACACUGCCUGAGAAUGUUGAGAAAAUAUUUUUAAAUGUUAGUGAAAUGAUAGGCUUUGGGGGCAGACCCAGCCUCGCUUUAGAAAAAGCUUUAUCGUGGGGGGAUUGAGAGAUUUUAGUGAUGUGAGCAUUGUAAAGAAUCAGCAGUGAGUGGGUGUAAGUUUUUGUUUUCCAAUUUUCCAGAGGAGGGUCCACCUGGGAAGAAUUUCAUGAAAUUUACAGAAAUCUGAAAAUUGCUUUUGAAGCUAUUACAGGUACCUGGGGAGUCCUCCUUGGCCCCACAGGCUGACUACACUAUCCAGAUCUUAAGGGACUCUCAUCUUUCCUAACUUCUAGGUUGCAGGAUUCUGCAGAAUUACUUCUGCAGCUUCCAUUUGUAGCUAUUGCUAAGUGGACCCAUAGCUAUAUGGGAUGUGGGGCUCUGGAUUUCAGGUAGAAAUGACCCUUUGUUUAUUUGAGAUGUUUGCUUCUUUAAAUACUCAGCCAUCUGACUCUCUAAUUGUUUAGGAUUAGUCAUAAGUUAAGUAGGACAGGGAAGAUGUUAUAAAUAGUUUAUUGCAUAUCCAUUCAAGAAAUUUAGGCUAAGUUUAUAUAUUUUACCUUCUGAAAGGAGAAAGCCUGUGUGUUUAUUUAAAGCAUUGUAGAUUUUUUCUCAUUUAGAAUAUAUGAGUCUAGUAUAAAAAUUGAUUCUAGAUGAUUUAUAUGUAAGUUGCUCUUUUCUUCAUACUUAUUUUGCUACCUUUUUAUUUCAUGUUUUUUCUUAAGUAUGACUUUGAGCCUUUAAAAGUAUUUCCUUUAUGUCUCUUUUGAAUAUCAAAAACAACAUGAAUUAAAAAUAGAAGUCUACAUAUCAAGGAAACUUUGUAUAUAUAUUUCUUUGGAGUUAGGGGGUGAUUUCUAUCAUUACUCUGAGUUUAUUUUACUGAACAGUAUAUUUUUGAGAAAGUGGAUCAUACUAUGACCAAUAAGACUUGACUAUAAAAGUAAAAUAAUACCAAAAUAUAAUACUGAUAAACAUAUAGGUGUCUAAAGAAAAAUGUUGCAUAUUUCUACAGCAGGGCAAUUAACCAUAGGACUUCUAAGAGGCCUAUGUCACAUAGGGCCCACACAUUCCUCCAUCUGCCAAGCCUUUAAAUUUAGGCACCAGAGAUCACCUGCAAAAUGCAAGCAUGUUAUCGGGAGGGGCAAUACAAUAAUACCUACCAUCUGGUGUUGUUAGUUAUCAAGUCACUGGUCUGUCUCCUAAGCGUAGCUCUGAGAUAAGGGGAAAGAAGGAAGAGAUCUGAGGAGGCAAUGCUGUUCUGGCCCACCUGGGGGAGAACCAUGAAGUCCACCUCUGAGCAGCCAGCAUCCCAGGAGGGAAAAGGAAGCCAGAGGGACCAUGUGGGAGCCAGGGGGACCACACUGACUUCACAAGGUUGCUACGAGGCUGCAAUUACCCAUGUGGCAGAUCCACUUGGAGUAAGUAAUAUUUUCAGUGGAAAUUUAUGUAAGCUCUGUCCAGUGUUUCAUGGAGUUUCUGCAGGUAAAGGACUGUGUGAUAAUAUUUCCAGUAAACAACUUCUUUAGAAAUUCUGCAGCCCAGCAGCACCAAGCAUGAGUUUGAUGCAGGUAACUUGAGUGGACAGCACAUUCUGGGAAGACAGGUAUUGGGAGUUCUCUUUGGCAGGUGUGAGUGGCAUCUCAAGAGUGUUCCUGGAGUUCCCACUCUGAAUGGCUGCCUGUGCUGAAAGCAUUCUCACUGCAGCACGAGAGAGAAAUGCAGGAGUGUCUCAUCACGACUUGAGACUUGCAAAAGACGUCAAGAAUGAGAGUGGGUCAAAGAUAAGGAACAGUGCUCAGUUGGGGUCUAAAUGGUCUCAUCCAGUGCCCUUUGGAUGCUGCACACUGUGUUGGUGCCAAUCACUUAGGAUGAGUCUUUCCAGGUCAUUAUAAGCCUCACAGCCUUGGUGAAGUGUGUUGUCAGAUGGCUGAUAUUCAUGACCCCAAGUGGAGAAGGAGGCUGUAGUUUGCUAGCCUGCUCCAUCAGAUUCCCAAAGGAGUUACCCUAUAACCUCAGGGCAGUGCAUUUAUAUCGACAUCUUACUGAAGGAUUGGCUCUUGGGCAGAUAAUUGUUCUUACUUUCUCUUUCUGCUCAACAAAAAGCGUAAUGUGAUGGAAGAGAAAAUGACUUAGUGUGGUGAGGCCAUGAAUUUAAUCUCAUUCUAACAAUUUAAAACUUAUGUCAUUCAGGACAAUUAAUUUAGUCCCAUUGAAUCCCAUUUUUGAAGUGCAGAUGAUCAUAAUAAUUGCUUCAGAGGGCUGUUGAGAAGAUAAAAUAAGGUCAGGAGUGAAAAUUUGACAUUUAUCAAAAUGUUUGUGAGGUUCCUAGUGGCAUGAACUGGCUCCUGAUCAGACAGUCAGCUUGAAUAUAUACCAGACUUUCUGAAGGGAAAAGUUCCAGGGUUCCUCCUGAGUAGACUCAGGUUUGGGAGCACUUUCUAUGAGUUUUAGAUAUAAAAGAAACCUUAGAAAUAAUCUUGUAUAGCCACCUUUUAAAAAAAUUGUAUUUAGAAUUUAAUUUUAUGAAAGAAACGUCUGUAUAUACUUUUAAAAUCAAAUAUUUAUAAUGAAAAGUAGCAAUUUCCUACCCCACUGUGUCUCAAAUUCCAUUCCCUAGAAGCUAAUAUCCUGAUAAAUUCAAGGAAUUCAAUGUUAUAUGUUGUCUAGUAUGUACUGCUCUAAUAUAUGAGUAUUUAGUUUAUUACACUCCCCAUUUCUCUACCCAUCCUCCCAAUAUAGUCUUAUCACUACAUUUAGUUUCUCCAUGGGAUAACUUUGUAACUGUAAAACGUAUACAAUUUUAUUUCUACAUUUGUCAUUGGGCUGUAAUCCUUGAUUCCACAUUUUGAUGAAUCCUUGAUUUUCACAACUUUGAAAGAUGAGUCCAUCCAACUUUUCCUUCACCCCUGUGCAUUACUUCUCACUUCCCAGUCUUUAUCAUUUGAAUUUUUAUCUCUCUGUUGUUAAAAGUUGAUGACAUUUACAUUUUAUUUAUGAGCACAAUUGUGUCUCAUGCCUUGUUUAUAGGUUGUGUAUAAAAGCUUAAAAUCAAUUAACAGUGUUUAGCUAAGUAAAUGUGGUUUACUGUAGAAUCAAGUGGAAUACAUUGAUUAGUUUCCUGUUUUGUACAGCAUUUUGUUUUUCCAAGAGUUUCUAAUUGCCUUUAUUUUUCUUCAUAGCAAUUUUGCCUUAUCUUUUACUUAUUUCAAAAUGUUAAAAUUAUAUUAGCUAUUCUUUAUUUUAUUAUUAUUAUACUUUAAGUUUUAGGGUACAUGUGCAGUCUAAGAGCUUGACCUUGAAACUGUUAAGAUCAGUAACUCUCCAUUCCACAGGGACUCUCUACUCUCCCCCCAGAAACUCUGUUCUUCCCUUCUGAUCAACACUGGUUGACAUCUAGACUGGGGUUUAUAUUUUUUAUCUUGAGAUUUGCCUUUUUUGCUUUUCUAGGUUGAAUCUCCUGUUUCCUGGACCCCAAGUCUUCUGUUUUCUUGAUUUACUUGCUGGGCUGAGGCACACCCUUAAGUAAUUCCCUAACAACAGGGUUGCUCCUAGAUGUGUGGGGCCUCAGAUAAAUAUUUUUUUGUGGGACCUUUUUCUAAAUAAAUAAUUUGACUAAGAAAGUAUUACAAAAUUCAUGGACCCACGUGGGGUAUAGUGUUUUAUUGAAAGUCAUUCAGAAUAAUGGAUACAGAUGAGGUACUUACAUAUUCAUUACUUAAUCAGUGCAUGUGAAAAUUCUUUCUUCAUAAUGUCCAGGCACUAUCUCUGUGUUCUUGGCUAAUUCCAUAUCUCCAGUCAUGAAGAAAAGUAGCAAUACUGUCAUUACUCACAAUGCCAAGUUCUUGGGAACUUGUUUACAAUGAACAAUAUAGAUCUGUACUACUUUUGCAAUACAAUUUAUUGAAGUCUGGUUAUAUUGUUAUAGAUGAUGCUGCACCAUGAAUACUGGCUUUCAAUGACUUUCUCAAAAGUUGUUGCUGUGCUUCAUUGUUGAUGACCAAAAAUGCAAGUCUUAUCCAGAGUAUGCAAGAAAAUGUGAACAAUAAUUUGUUUUCUGAUUAUGUUGAAUUUACUGUUUAUAAUCUGAACAUAGAGCAUGUCUUCCAACUCUAUCUUCUCUUAAACUCUAUGCUGUAAUUACUACAUUCCUAGACAGUGAUUCUUUUCAUGUUAACUGCACUCCUGCCUUCCACUCACUGCCACCAGUGGAGAGGACUAAAUGAAUGAGAAGAGCAGCCUCAUUGGCACAAGGAACAUCUCUCAUCAGGAAUGGCUUCAACUGAUCCAGGAGUGCUUGAUAUCCCCACAUCUGUGGAGGCAGGGGAGGACAUCAAUUGGAAAAGCCCCUUGCUGUUUCAGAGCAAAGAUCUUGAAAGCACCAGGUAGAGAAAGAUGUAGCCAUUGUCAAAAGACUGCCUGUUAGAUGAAUGGGACAGUGGGAUGACCACCCUGGGUUCAGUGGUAAAGUCAAAUGGAGUAAAGGAUGCCUGUUGCCACCCCAGCUGCACUUGGGUGCUGAAGAUCAGAAGUGAAACUACAGAACAAAUCCAGAUGAGAGCUCACCUAGGGGCUCACACAUAUAGUUCAGGCCAAGGUUCAGUGAUGGACCAUCAUCAGUACUCAGAGCACUGAACUUGUCCUGGGUGUGAUGUAUUUGAGAGUCACUUAAAAUCAUCAUAUCGCUGCCAUUUUGGCCACCCAAUCUCAUAGGAUUCUGUGAAAUAAAUAUGGCACUGGGCAGCAGGAGCAAUUCACUUGUCAGGAAUCCCUCCUGGAAUCAGGGCUUGGCCAAGGACUUCAAGCCAACCACCCAAGGCAUGAAUCCCAGAACUCCUGGGGGCAUCUGGCAACUUCAUGUGCAGAAUAUAUCUUCUCUGACCUAGUGUGGCUGAUGAUGAGAGGUCUGAUGCUGGUUGAAGUUCUUGGUUUUCACAGGUAUCUUUUACAUUUCUAUCUUUCCUGCUAAACCUUCUCAGUAUCUUCUAUUAUGGAUGUAUUGAAGUUUUAUAGUGAUGGGUCUAGAUGUGUGUGUGUAUGUCUGCAUGUGUAUGCACAUAUGUGAGUUGUCAACUUGAGCACUUGGGUACUUGAUUGGCUUCUUAAUUUGGAUACUCAUGUCCUUUGACUCUGGGACAAUCCUUUGCGAUAAUUCUUUGAUUUCUUUCUUUUUGUUUUUCUCUUUUUGUCACUCCUAUUGAUCAGAUGUGGGGCCUCUUGGACUGAUCCUCAACACAUCUUACCUUUCUCAUUUUCUUACAUCUUCUUGCCUUUGUUCUACAACAUUGGUUUUAUUAUAUUUUACCUACUAUUAGAAUUUCGGGCUCAUAUAUUUAUUUUUCAAUAGUUUUUCCUUGUUAGCUAGUUGUACUUUGUUGAUGCAAUAUUUUUUUUUACUACUCUUUCUAAGAAUAUUUAUUAAAGAGUUUUUAAAGGUUAAA